This is a long non-coding RNA of Sitophilus oryzae (rice weevil), 557 nucleotides long. RefSeq lists it as uncharacterized. NCBI's taxonomy places the organism in Eukaryota, Metazoa, Arthropoda, Insecta, Coleoptera, Curculionidae. The record is from RefSeq and is a predicted model, not a curated record. The transcript is spliced from 2 exons.
AUGGUGGAUAUGGAGUCCACUUAUUGAAACAAACGUAAAGUUAACUAAACGAACGGUGGCAGUGAGACACUGGAAAACAUGUGGAGAAGUUUCAGAUUCAGCUGCUAGUGAAAGAUAUGGUAAAUAUGGAGAUUUAGUAUUAUCCGAUAUUUAGGCGUAUUUAUCUGAUAAUUAGGCGAUAUUAGGCGUAAGCCUAAUGAAAUCCGAUUAGGCAAGCUCGGGACGAGCUUCUAGCAGGAUGGCCGACUGUAAGAGUCUUGUUUUCCGUUAAAAAAUUGUUUAUAUUAAAUUGUGUUAUUUUAAGAAAUAAUAUUUUAUUUGAAUCUCUAAUUGACUUUUCUUGACCGCAUGUAUACAAUGUCGUUUCCUAGACGAUGCGGUUUGCAUUGUUGAUGAUUAUUUUGACUGACGUCGCCAUUUAUCAAAAAAUAUUAAAUUCAGAUUAUAAUUGUGUGGAAAAUAUUUCUGGGACUGAAUAGAAGGAAUGAAGUAUUAUACAGAUUGCAAAUUGCGUGAUCAUAGAGUGAGAGCAUUACACAAGUGUCCCGGCAUCUAAG